RNAcentral lists this non-coding RNA (213 nucleotides) under Gemmatimonas aurantiaca. Lineage: Bacteria; Pseudomonadati; Gemmatimonadota; Gemmatimonadia; Gemmatimonadales; Gemmatimonadaceae. The record is from RNAcentral.
AAUAAUCAGCCAGCGUUUGGUUCCCCGGAUUAUUCCGAUCCGGGGUGAAAAGGGAAUCCGGUGCGGCGCAUUUGUGUGCCUAUUCCGGGGCUGCCCCCGCAACUGUAAGCGGUGAGCACCUGUCGAUCACGGUCACUGGCAUAGGACGCCGGGAAGGCCAGACAGGGGCGUCGACCCGCGAGCCAGGAGACCUGCCAGCGCGCGAUUUCACGU